This 73-nucleotide transfer RNA is filed under the name Paramuricea clavata. It matches the Rfam family "tRNA". Rfam says of the family: Transfer RNA (tRNA) molecules are approximately 80 nucleotides in length. Their secondary structure includes four short double-helical elements and three loops (D, anti-codon, and T loops). Lineage: Eukaryota; Metazoa; Cnidaria; Anthozoa; Malacalcyonacea; Plexauridae. The record is from Rfam by way of RNAcentral.
UCUCUUGUAGCUCAGUUGGUUAGAGCACUGCACCGGAAUCGCAGGGCCGUAGGUUCAAUUCCUACCGGAGGAC